GCGGGUGCGCCGACGCUGGAGAGUCGGGCCUGUCUGUAGAACAGGUGCUUCGCGCUGAGGAGGUUCGAGUCCUCCCACCCGCAC
Molecule: transfer RNA, 84 nt
Filed under: Plantactinospora mayteni
Lineage: Bacteria; Bacillati; Actinomycetota; Actinomycetes; Micromonosporales; Micromonosporaceae
Also listed under: 1 other name
Description: tRNA-Tyr
Source: RNAcentral